UUAAUUGAAGCCAAAAAAGAGGCCUUUCAUUGUUAAUGAAAUUAAUGAUUAUUAUAUAAUCCAAUUAAA
Molecule: transfer RNA, 69 nt
Filed under: Enithares tibialis
Lineage: Eukaryota; Metazoa; Arthropoda; Insecta; Hemiptera; Notonectidae
Description: tRNA-Asn
Source: RNAcentral